This 340-nucleotide long non-coding RNA is filed under the name Chinchilla lanigera (long-tailed chinchilla). RNAcentral describes it as "lncRNA (ENSCLAG00000027724.1)". The record is from RNAcentral. Lineage: Eukaryota; Metazoa; Chordata; Mammalia; Rodentia; Chinchillidae.
GGAACUCAGACUUAGGGAACUGCUGACCUCAGGACCACUGAGCUCUGCACCAUGCUGUCUCCAGCUCAGCUGCUUCUAACCCGCAGUGAAAGGAAAAGGAGGUGCAAGCUGGAGAGAAGAUGGCCAGACCAGGAGUCCAGGAGGAUGCUGUCCAACGGGGCCUUGGCAGCUGUGCCUGGCAGGCAGAUCGCUCACAGCAGAGAGGCUACGGCAGUGACCUGGAGCAGACUCCCAGGAAUGGCCUCCCUGCAUCUCAGUAGGGUCCUGUAGGGAUUUCCAGUAUUUCCAAAUGUAAAUGGCCCAGAAAAAGAAUGAUAAUAAAAAUAUCUUAUACUUCAAA